This 568-nucleotide ribosomal RNA is filed under the name Salmonella enterica subsp. enterica serovar Amsterdam. RNAcentral describes it as "partial 23S ribosomal RNA". It matches the Rfam family "Bacterial large subunit ribosomal RNA", at positions 685 to 1251 of the family's 2925-position model. The record is from RNAcentral. Lineage: Bacteria; Pseudomonadati; Pseudomonadota; Gammaproteobacteria; Enterobacterales; Enterobacteriaceae.
UAAUUGGGCGUUAAGUUGCAGGGUAUAGACCCGAAACCCGGUGAUCUAGCCAUGGGCAGGUUGAAGGUUGGGUAACACUAACUGGAGGACCGAACCGACUAAUGUUGAAAAAUUAGCGGAUGACCUGUGGCUGGGGGUGAAAGGCCAAUCAAACCGGGAGAUAGCUGGUUCUCCCCGAAAGCUAUUUAGGUAGCGCCUCGUGAAUUCAUCUCCGGGGGUAGAGCACUGUUUCGGCUAGGGGGCCAUCCCGGCUUACCAACCCGAUGCAAACUGCGAAUACCGGAGAAUGUUAUCACGGGAGACACACGGCGGGUGCUAACGUCCGUCGUGAAGAGGGAAACAACCCAGACCGCCAGCUAAGGUCCCAAAGUCAUGGUUAAGUGGGAAACGAUGUGGGAAGGCCCAGACAGCCAGGAUGUUGGCUUAGAAGCAGCCAUCAUUUAAAGAAAGCGUAAUAGCUCACUGGUCGAGUCGGCCUGCGCGGAAGAUGUAACGGGGCUAAACCAUGCACCGAAGCUGCGGCAGCGACACUAUGUGUUGUUGGGUAGGGGAGCGUUCUGUAAGCCUG